AUGAAUUCAGAUACAGAAAAGAACUUGCGCUGGAGGCUUAGUCGAGCAGAAGAACAACAUAAGAACGACCGAGAGGAGUGGUUAGAAUCAUGUGUUCGUAGCAACCUGCAAAUACAGAGUCUGAAAGAGCAGGUCUCCACACUGCAGCUUCAGUUGAAAUCUCCAACAAAGAGAGAGAUAGAACUAGAGGAAGAAUUAAGGUCCAAUAAGAAUGACGACAAAAUGUUGAAAGACACCUAUAAAAGGCAUAACUCAGUACUCUUAGAGGAGCUGGAGAAAUGUCAAGAAAGUCACAAGGAAAUGUUGAUGGAAAUGAAAAAGCAGUAUGAAAACCUUAAAGAAGAAAAAAUCUGCACAGAGGCAGACCUUCGUGGCAGGCUGGAGCAGCAAUGCAAAGCAUUCGAAGAGCAGGCACACCAACAUCAGUGCCAGGUCAAAUUAAAGGAUAGACAGUAUCAUGAGUUGGAGCAGGAGAAAAAGAAGGCCUUAAAGGAAGUCGUUGCAGAAAGAGAUGAAGCAAGACAAAUGAUAAAAACGCUGCAGUCACAAGAAAUAGAAACAAAAGAGGCCACUGCCUUUGACAAACGCAUUGCCCACCAGAAUUUUAUACAUAGGACAGAGAAAUUGCGUAAGGAGAUUGCAGAGCUUAAGAAUAAUGCCAAAAAAGCUCAGAAAAAGAUUUCUUCUUUAGAGGAAACCAUCAAAGACAAAAACAAGGCAAUAGCAAACAAACAUAAGGAGUACGCAAUUAUAGGGAAGGAAAAGACUGAUAUAAGGAAGCUUUUGUCUAGAGAAGAGGAACGCAAUGCCCUACUGAAGAUUCAAUUAGGUGAUGCGACCAACAGCAACAAGCUUCUAAAUGGUAAGUUCCUAAAGGCAAAUUCUGAACGCAUUGAAGCACUGGAAGCACUGCGAGAGGCUGAUUUGAAAGAACAGAGACAACAGAAAAUAAUAACUAUCCUUAAAAAUAAAAUUGAGGGUAUUGGCCCAGGAUUCAAGGAAUUGAAGGACAGAGUCCAUCAAUUGGAAACCUUUCAGAAAAGAUUUCUUGAGGACCUUCAGACAUGCAUGCCUCUGGUCUUCGACCACAAGAAAUUAAAAAGCAGAGUCAUUGCCCUCAAAGAACUUUACGUAGACAAGAAGCAACAGGACCUGAUGGAUUACCACACUGAGGUGGGGUAUACUGACAAAAUUGCCAACCUCGAGAGAAGGCUCAGUCAUUGUGCAAAGAUACAUGGCACAGUGAAGAAUAUGCAAUUGGAACAUGAGAGAGCUAAUGCCGAAUUUUGUCAGGACAAAAGCUUCUACAUCGACACUUUGAAUGCUAAGAGAAAAGAGAUGACACAGAUAAAAGAAGAGCUGAGAGAAACCAAGGAACAGCUCACAGAGGCAACAAAACCACUACGGCAGAGGGCCAGCUCUUGGUUAAGGAAAAAAAUCCUCCGAAGUCCCAGAGCUUCCCCAGAUGUCGCAGAGGAAGCAUCAGAUGACAGUCAGGCACCCAGCCUUCCAGAAGACGCAAUCCUAUCAUCACCAUCACCAUCAUCCAGCGAGCCACAUCGUUGUACAGAUGAUGACACAGUCAUACUUGACAACCUCUUCAUGCCAUGUCUCAGUGUGGUAAUGUUUGAGCCAAGUCGGAGCAGUACUAUGCCAAGACCUCUGUAG
Molecule: long non-coding RNA, 1668 nt
Organism: Sparus aurata (gilthead seabream)
Lineage: Eukaryota; Metazoa; Chordata; Actinopteri; Spariformes; Sparidae
Source: Ensembl